RNAcentral lists this ribosomal RNA (433 nucleotides) under uncultured bacterium. RNAcentral describes it as "partial 16S ribosomal RNA". It matches the Rfam family "Bacterial small subunit ribosomal RNA", at positions 29 to 507 of the family's 1533-position model. The record is from RNAcentral.
AACGAACGCUGGCGGCAUGCCUAACACAUGCAAGUCGAACGAGACCUUCGGGUCUAGUGGCGCACGGGUGCGUAACGCGUGGGAACCUGCCCUUAGGUUCGGAAUAACUCCCCGAAAGGGGUGCUAAUACCGGAUAAUGUCUUCGGACCAAAGAUUUAUCGCCCUUGGAUGGGCCCGCGUUGGAUUAGCUAGUUGGUAGGGUAAAAGCCUACCAAGGCGACGAUCCAUAGCUGGUCUGAGAGGAUGAUCAGCCACACUGGGACUGAGACACGGCCCAGACUCCUACGGGAGGCAGCAGUGGGGAAUAUUGGACGAGGGGCGAAAGCCUGACCCAGCAAUGCCGCGUGAGUGAUGAAGGCCUUAGGGUUGUAAAGCUCUUUUACCCGGGAGGAUAAUGACAGUACCGGGAGAAUAAGCGCCGGCUAACUCCGUG